Molecule: long non-coding RNA, 2193 nt
Filed under: Heterocephalus glaber (naked mole-rat)
Lineage: Eukaryota; Metazoa; Chordata; Mammalia; Rodentia; Bathyergidae
Description: lncRNA (ENSHGLG00000036072.1)
Source: RNAcentral
CACCACCCUGAGCGGGUGCAGGAGUUCAGGAUAGUCACAGCUGUCAUGGCGGCAGUCGGGGGACACUGGUAGAUGUGAUGUUUGACAGAUGGCUGCCACAUCUCUUCGAAGAGUGGUGGCUGAAACCAGGGAGUCUCCAGGAAGGCUGGCUGUGUGACAGAACAGCUGAUAUCCAAACAAGGCUGUACUUCCCAGCUUCUUUUGUGGCUGAGCGUGUUCACGACAGAGUUGUGGCCAAGGCCAAUGGGACACACAUGGAGUUUUGUAUGAGAUCUUCGGGCUGCAGAAUUACUCAUCAGCGCUGGAAGCCUGCCCCCGCCAUGCUGUGGUGACCCUCAUCCCAGCGAGGCUCCCUCAGCUGGGCAGCCGUCUGCCCUGCGGUGAGGGGAAGGAAUUCAGCGUGAACUCUGCUCACUCAGCAGCCAGCCUCAAGGAGCUUGGGCUGUGGAAAAUCACAUGUGUUUUUCGAGUUGUUGGAAACCAAGGAAAUUGCUCCUCCAGUUGUGAAGUUGGCCAGAACACUGCCUGGAAGACCCCAGCUGGACCUCUGGGUCACAUCCAGGCGACACCUUGUUAAAAUCUCCAUAGAUGCUGCUGAGUGAACCAAAGUCACAGAUAGCUGCCUUUCAGACCUGUGCACACAGCCAGAGACGCGGAGGAAAUGGCGAUGACCAGGAGUCGUCUUCAUGGGCUCAGGAGGCUGAGAUAUGUGUCAGGCACAGAGCGUAUCAGAUGGAUUUUUGCUGAGACCUUUAGAUGCGCCCUGUCCCCUGAGGGAGCUGUAGCUCAGGAUGGGCUCAGAAGAACAUCUUCCAAGAGAGGCCACUCAGGACCUGGGUCCUGCUCGAGACCACAUUCCCUGGCCAUGGAGACUUCUGUUUUCCCUGGCAGAAGACUCAGGGCCCAAAUCCAACCUGUGUGUGAGCCAUUCCCAGGGAAGUGACGUCCCAUGGCCCCCUACCAAGAGUCGCCUCCAGCAUGACACACUCAAGCCGGGACAGCAGAGCGAAUUCCCAGAACCAGCUCUGGGCGUGAUGAUUCAGCCUUUGGAGGGGUCGGUGGUGCAAGACAGCUUCCUUCAUCCUCACUGCCACCAGGACCAGGCUGGGCCAGCGGGCAGGCAGGCAAAGUCUGGCUGCCGGGGGCUGCUCUGAGCCGGGGGGACAGAAGGAGACAGUCCCCCGACUCGAGGUCUCCGAGGGAAACAAUGAGAGCCCAGGGCCCAUGGGGUGUGAGAGGGAACAUGUGGCCUGAUUCCACUUGAUCAGCACACAGUAGUUCCACUGAAGUCAGUCAAUGAGAUUAGAGGGCCACAGCCAGGAUUCACACCAGGGGCCAGCUCCGGGCACAGUGCUGGGCAGGCCUUGGAGGGUCCUUCCACCCGGGUGCAGGGGUGGGGGAGCCCAGGUCCCAGGCCAAGUGCUCCCUGACCACUUCUCUCUCAGCUCUCCCUGUGUGGUCACCUGAGAGCUCUGGGGUCACUAGCCAGCUCCAUCACAGACGACCUUGGGGUAGGGCCGCUGACCUUGACCAUGAUGGAUCCUUCUGUGUGGCUCCUGGGUUCAUGUGAUGGCUGGAGCUACUCUUGAAAACAGGUUUCUAAAAAUGAGUACGAGGUCUGGGAUGUAGCUCAGUGGUAGAGGACUUGCCUGGUAUGGACAAGGUCCUGAGUUCGAUGCCCAGCACUGCAAGAAAAAAAAAAGUGGUGGUGGCAGUAUUCCGGCGAGGGGAAGGAGGGAAGUAGGUAUUUGUCCAGUGGGAACCUGGGGGUGACAGACUGCAGAAGGGAACAGGGGAGGGCGCCCAGGUGCCCAGACUGAAGGACGCGGCAGGUGGAAGUUCGCAGAGCCCACCGGCCAGGGCUGCAGAGGGUGGGAAGGACGGGGCGGCCAGCAGCCUCAAGGCGCUGAGUCCCCAGACCUGGACCCGGGGUCCUCUCCCAGGCGCUCUGCGCCCCCAGUCGCUCCCGCCCCAGACUUUCGGUCCUGGGCGCAGAGGCGGCUCGCAGUUCUGCAUUUCGCGCUCUGGGACGCGCCAGGAGGCCGCGCCGGACCGCCCCGUCCCCCGCAGCCCCUCCGUGUACGCCGGCUCCUCCUCCUCCUCCUCCUCCUCCUCGGGGUGGGGAGGUUGCUCCGGAAGCCCCGGCGCCCCCGCCCCGGCCGCUCACCCUGGAGAGGGCGGACCGCGCCACGC